CCUGCAUCAGCCCCCCGAAUGCUGAGGUUGCAAGCAUGAAUCAACAUCCUGCAGGAAGAAAUAACUUUUAAACUAAUGGCGAGGCUCACGGCUGGGGAGCGAGAAAGCCCUGUAUGCGGUGCCCCUGGCCGAUUGUGUGUAUGCGUGCGCGCACCUGUUAGUGGUGGGAGGGCAGUUUGGAGACUGAACUUCCACUGAGUUGAUGAAUGCCCCCCACCCCCACCAGCAACGCCCUCCCCCGCAACGGUUUUCUAGAUUCCAAUCCCAGUCGCCGCCUUCUUUCCAAAUUCUCCAGCCACACCAUUGUCCAGGAAGCGCAAGCAGCUAGAAACCACAGGGAACUGUCGGACUCAACCUGUAGGAAGCUGAAUGGAGGCCGGACCAGCUCCAGGGUGAAGAAAGCGAACUGAUGUUGUGCAAAUUGUACCCGGCACUGUCUCAGGAAGUGCCGUAGCUUCCUGAUUGCGAAUGCAGAUAAUAAGAGUGUAAGGGCUGCAGCGACCAAGGAUGAAAGCGACCGACCCGCCAAAAUGUAGAGAAUGACAUCUUUAAGUACAGGUGCAAGAAAGUCACUGCAGUGCUGGCCAGAUGUUGUGUGACAACACUUUUCCUGAACAUGCAACAGAUGUGUCUACUCACCCCAGCUAAUAGACCCCAGGAUAGACCAAAGCAUGGAUCCCACCAAAGUCCAGCUUGCGUGUGGAGCUUGAGGAUUGGACUCUGCCCGCCAGGCUUGAUUACAAUCACCUGUUACCUACUGAGCCAUCCCUCUGGAUCCCACAGAAAACUUCCACUUUAAAUGUAUGAGUUGGCUAAAAGUAAAAGGAUGAGAGGGCACUGGGCUGAGGAGAUGACUCACUGGCAUUCCUAUGGCGAAAACGGAGGAGGAGGCAGGAGAAUCAGGUGGGAACUCUCAUAUGCAACACAGUAGCCCAGAUAACAAGAAAGACCAUGACUGAAAACCAGGAACCAAGGUGGACAAAAAGAUUCUUGAAACAUUGUUACCUCCAUGCAUGUACUGUGGCAUAUGAGCACCCAAACACACACACCCACACACACCAAAUAAAUAUUUUUUAAAAACCUGAUAGAUCACGUUUUUUCAAAACAUUGUUUGGGACAAUGCCAUCUCACUUUAUAGUCCAGGUUGACCUCAAACUACAGGCAGAAUCCUCUAGCCUUGACUGCCCAAGUGUUGGGAGCUACCACACCUGGCCAGCUUACCUCUUAAAAACAACAAGAGUUUAUUUCACAGUAUCUAGUGCACAAAG
This is a long non-coding RNA of Mesocricetus auratus (golden hamster), 1268 nucleotides long. RefSeq lists it as uncharacterized. The record is from RefSeq and is a predicted model, not a curated record. The transcript is spliced from 4 exons. NCBI's taxonomy places the organism in Eukaryota, Metazoa, Chordata, Mammalia, Rodentia, Cricetidae.